GACGAACGCUGGCGGCGUGCUUAACACAUGCAAGUCGAACGGAAAGGCCCUGCGGUGGGGGGGUGCUCGAAUGGCGAACGGGUGAGGAAGACGUGAGUAACCUGCCCUUGACUUUGGGAUAACUUCAUGAAACUGGGGCUAAUAGCGGAUAGGAGCUCCUGCGGCAUGGUGGGGGUUGGAAAGUUUGGGCGGUUGGGGAUGGACGCGCGGCUGAUCAGCUUGUUGGUGGGGUAGUGGCUUACCAAGGCUUUGACGGGUAGCCGGCCUGAGAGGGUGACCGGCCACAUUGGGACUGAGAUACGGCCCAGACUCCUACGGGAGGCAGCAGUGGGGAAUAUUGCACAAUGGGCGGAAGCCUGAUGCAGCAACGCCGCGUGCGGGAUGACGGCCUUCGGGUUGUAAACCGCUUUCGCCUGUGACGAAGCGUGAGUGACGGUAAUGGGUAAAGAAGCACCGGCUAACUACGUG
This 468-nucleotide ribosomal RNA is filed under the name uncultured bacterium. Its description in RNAcentral is "partial 16S ribosomal RNA". It matches the Rfam family "Bacterial small subunit ribosomal RNA", at positions 28 to 507 of the family's 1533-position model. The record is from RNAcentral.